Molecule: RNA transcript, 2999 nt
Organism: Cercocebus atys (sooty mangabey)
Lineage: Eukaryota; Metazoa; Chordata; Mammalia; Primates; Cercopithecidae
Gene name: ATP synthase subunit d, mitochondrial pseudogene
Exons: 1
Source: RefSeq, a predicted model, not a curated record
AAGCAAUCCUCCUGCCUCGGUCUCCCAAAGUACUGGGAUUACAGGCGUGAGCCACCAUACCUGGCCAAGAGUUUUAAUACUGUCUUUUCCCAAACACUCUUAGUAAAAUGAAGCAACAGAAAUUUAAUGUCCUGAGAUUAUUGUGCCAUGAAGUGUUAGGAUGAAUGAGAUACACACACACAUACACACACGCACACACACACACUUUUUUUUGCAUAUUAGGAAAAAGUAGGGAACAGUAUGAAAGAAAUCAACAAAUAAAGUAUUUCUGCUUAAGAAUCAGAGAGUAUAUAUUUUUCAAGAAAUGCUGAAAGAAACCAUAUGCUUAGGCAUUAAACCAAAGCAUUAUGAACAUAAAAUCGUGACCUCCCAGCUCUCUCUUGUGGAUUGUAUUCAUAUUCAUUUGAAAGUGUUAGUUGAAGUCUUUAGAAUCUGGAAGAAUUUAUUAUUACUUGAAAGUUAGCGGCACUCAUUGGAGAGCAAAAUCUUGGACUCUGCCUUGUUACAUACCUAGCUAGAUAAGGUACUUUUUAAAAACCUUCCUCUUCUUAUGUGUACAAGUUGGUGUUAGACUUCUCUGGAAGAAAAAACUGUCCUAGAGGCCAAAUCUAGUCACUCUGUAGUUGGGCUGAUGAUCAGGAGACCCAGGUUUUGCCAUAUGGGUUUACACUCUGAUCUCAGCAAGUUACUUAAUCCCUUUAUGUUAAGCUUUCCACCCAUAAAGCAGAUACCUAGCCCUCUCAACUUGCAUAGACAUAUAGGUUAUAGAAUCUUAGAGCUUAAAGGUAUUCUGUAAACCAGUGUUUCUCAGCUUUGGCACUGUUGACAUUUGGAGCGGAUAAUUUUUUGUUGUGGAGAGGCUGUCUUGUGCAUUGUAGGAUGUUUAGUAACGUCUCUGGCCUCUAAAUACAAGUAGCAGUAUCCCAGUUAUGGCAGCUAAAAAUGACUGCAGGCAUCUCCAGAUGUCCCAUGGGUGGCAGUAUCCCAGUUGGGAACCACUGCUGUAAGACAGGAUUCAGCAAGAGGCAGCUGAGGCCCGGGAAUGUUCAGUCCUGCUUUAAAUCACAUCACUAUUAAGUGGUGGGAUCAGGACUAGAACUCAACUUUAUUAAUAUACUGCCAACCCGUCUCUCCAGCUUUCCCCUUAAAUUCAGAGUUUCAUUCCAUUCCAAAAGCAGUGGCGUAUGUUUAAAAUUUCAACACCAAAGCAACGAUUGACAAAUUCUCUACAUUUACCGAUGAUGUAUUACCCACCUGCUUCCAUUUUACUACCCCCAAAGCUCUUACCAUACCUUGGUAAAGAAACAUUGCUUUCCUCAUCCUUAAAUGCUUACAAAAUGCUUGGGCAACAUUUAUUAAGAGCAGUUGGAAUGGAUGGUUUGGGAGGUGUCAGUUCGCCAUUAUAAGCCGUGUAGGUGAGUGUAAGUUGGAUAUGAUCUGUGGGACAUUGAAAACUGUGGAGUUCCGUGCUAGUGAAGAGCACUAGAGGGUCUCUGGAAUUGGAUGUCUAUUUAUCAAAUAAAUCAACCUGCUGCCUUAGGUGUAUGCUGAACCUCCUUGUGUCUCCCAUUCUUUCUUUAUAUACUUUCCAGUUUAUGGUUUUUAAUAAAGGCAAAUUCUGCACACUUACUAAGCAGCACUUAGUACAUUUUGUUUGGUUGUUUAAUUCCAUAUCUGAUGUUUCAGUAUCAUAGGUUUUCAAUAUAUGGAAAUUCACUUUUGGCUUGGGAACAUGAAGGGGAAGAUACACAAAAGGAAACCUAGAUGAGAACAAGCAAGCUGAAUAAAAGUAGUUGUCAGAAAAUAAACUGAAUGAUAGGUAGGAAAGCUUUAAACUAUUAAGUAAGUGCUGUGCUUUAAAGUUAGGGGCAGUAGCCUGAACAUCUGGAUCCUGGAGUGCUUUCAAGCUCUUUGCUGAGAACAUUUCUAGAUUUCAGUGUGGUCUGGUUAGCAGAAUCUUUUCGCUGACAGCCAUGUAACAAAGUUGUCUAUCUUUUGAAAACUGCAAACUACUACAGUGUUGAAAACCUGAAAUGCUUUGCUUUGAAGGUAAGGUGCUUUAAAAAAAAAUCUAUUGAAAUCUUUGAACUCAGGUAUAAUUGGCUUGUUACGUAAUAAGAUUCUGAACAUGUAUACAUACACAAUAUGAAAGAAUUUCAAGUCCCAAACUUGAGUUUGCAAAUGAAGACAGACAUUUGGAGUAACUAUGCACCACAGUUAGGUUUACUUGCUGUUUUUCUGUUCCUCCUCUUAAGUACAUUAUAAACUACCUUAAGCUAAUGUAUUGGCUAGCUAAGAUUCCUACAGGGUUCGUUCUUUUCAUUGGGCAUCAGCAGUGUCAGUGGUGUUUUCCAUUAGAAAUGUAAUGGAACUGAGAGACACUGUGGAUUGGCUUAGAACCGAACCACAGUUAAAAGUGGUCAUUGAGGGUCGGUGAAGGAUCCCAAGAUGGCUGGACGAAAACUUGCUCUAAAAACCAUUGACUGGGUAGCUUUUGCGGAGAUCACACCCCAGAACCAAAAGGCCAUCGCUGGUUCCCUGAAGUCCUGGAAUGAGACCCUCACCUCCAGGUUGGCUGCUUUACCUGAGAAUCCGCCAGCUCUCGACUGGGCUUACUACAAGGCCAGUGUGGCCAAGGCCGGCUUGGUGGAUGACUUUGAGAAGAAGUUUAAUGCCCUGAAGAUUCCUGUGCCAGAGGAUAAAUAUACUGCCCAGGUGGAUGCCGAAGAAAAAGAAGAUGUGAAAUCUUGUGCUGAGUGGGUGUCUCUCUCAAAGGCCAGGAUUGUAGAAUAUGAGAAACAGAUGGAGAAGAUAAAGAACUUAAUUCCACUUGAUCAGAUGUCCACUGAGGACUUGAACUAAGCUUUUCUGGAAACCAAAUUAGACAAGAAAAAGUAUCCCUAUUGGCCUCACCAACCAAUUGAGAAUUUAUAAAAUUGAGUCCAGGAGGAAGCUCUGGCCCUUGUGUUACACAUUCUGGACAUUAAAAAUAAUAAUUA